Etheostoma cragini (Arkansas darter) is the source of this 144-nucleotide long non-coding RNA. RefSeq lists it as uncharacterized. The transcript is spliced from 2 exons. NCBI's taxonomy places the organism in Eukaryota, Metazoa, Chordata, Actinopteri, Perciformes, Percidae. The record is from RefSeq and is a predicted model, not a curated record.
UAAGUUACUUUGCAUAUUCCGAUUUUUACAGUAAUUAACGUAGUUACUUUGCAGAUUACUUGAUUUUAAAAGUAACGACGUUAGAUUACAAGUUCCUUUAUAAAUUACAUUCAGCAGCUGCUGACAACACCCCUCCCGCCUAAA